GAUGAAGAACGCAGCGAAAUGCGAUAAGUAAUGCGAAUUGCAGAAUUUCCGUGAGUCAUCGAAUCUUUGAACGCACAUUGCACCUCUCGGUAUUCCGGGAGGUAUGCCUGUUCGAGCGUCAUUUGUACCCUCAAGCUCUGCUUGGUGUUGGGUGUUUGUUCCGCCUCUGUGUGUGAACUCGCCUCAAAACAAUUGGCAGCCGGCGUACUUGUUUCGGAGCGCAGCACAUUUUGCGAUCCAGAUCAACGUACAGCGGCAUCCAAGAAGCCUUAUUUAACGCUCUUGACCUCGGAUCAGGUAGGGAUACCCGCUGAACUUAAGCAUAUCAAUAAGCGGAGGA
RNAcentral lists this unclassified non-coding RNA (340 nucleotides) under soil metagenome. Its description in RNAcentral is "partial contains 5.8S ribosomal RNA, internal transcribed spacer 2, and large subunit ribosomal RNA". The stretch from base 1 to 121 matches the Rfam family "5.8S ribosomal RNA", at positions 35 to 154 of the family's 154-position model. The record is from RNAcentral.